RNAcentral lists this ribosomal RNA (216 nucleotides) under Glomeromycotina sp. Its description in RNAcentral is "partial small subunit ribosomal RNA". The stretch from base 44 to 216 matches the Rfam family "Eukaryotic small subunit ribosomal RNA", at positions 690 to 864 of the family's 1831-position model. The record is from RNAcentral. Lineage: Eukaryota; Fungi; Glomeromycota.
GGGUCAGUAGGUUGGUCGUGCCACCGGUACGUACUGGUCUCACUGAUUCCUCCUUCCUGAAGAACCGUAAUGCCAUUAAUUUGGUGUUGCGGGGAAACAGGACUGUUACUUUGAAAAAAUUAGAGCGUUUAAAGCAAGCUAACGCUUGAAUACAUUAGCAUGGAAUAAUGAAACAGGACGAUCGAUCCUAUUUUGUUGGUUUCUAGGAUUGACGUA